UACGGGGGGGACCAGCGUUAUUCUUCAUGACUGGGCGUAAAGGGUGCGUAGGUCGUCCAUCUGGUUGAAAUAAAAAAUCCAGAGUUUAACUUUGGAAAAAUUUUCAAAACUGAUGUGACUGGAGUCCCAGAGAGGAUAGUAGAAUUUUUAGAGUAGUGAUGAAAUACAUAUAUACUAAAAGGAAUAUCACCAGCGAAGGCAACUGUCUGGAUGGUGACUGACGCUGAGGCACGAAAGUUUGGGGA
RNAcentral lists this ribosomal RNA (245 nucleotides) under uncultured bacterium. RNAcentral's name for it is "partial 16S ribosomal RNA". It matches the Rfam family "Bacterial small subunit ribosomal RNA", at positions 524 to 767 of the family's 1533-position model. The record is from RNAcentral.